This 468-nucleotide ribosomal RNA is filed under the name uncultured bacterium. RNAcentral describes it as "partial 16S ribosomal RNA". It matches the Rfam family "Bacterial small subunit ribosomal RNA", at positions 28 to 507 of the family's 1533-position model. The record is from RNAcentral.
GACGAACGCUGGCGGCGUGCUUAACACAUGCAAGUCGAACGGAAAGGCCCUGCUCUUGUGGGGUGCUCGAGUGGCGAACGGGUGAGUAACACGUGAGUAACCUGCCCUUGACUUUGGGAUAACUUCAGGAAACUGGGGCUAAUACCGGAUAGGAGCUCCUGCUGCAUGGUGGGGGUUGGAAAGUUUCGGCGGUUGGGGAUGGACUCGCGGCUUAUCAGCUUGUUGGUGGGGUAGUGGCUUACCAAGGCUUUGACGGGUAGCCGGCCUGAGAGGGUGGCCGGCCACAUUGGGACUGAGAUACGGCCCAGACUCCUACGGGAGGCAGCAGUGGGAAAUAUUGCACAAUGGGCGGAAGCCUGAUGCAGCAACGCCGCGUGCGGGAUGACGGCCUUCGGGUUGUAAACCGCUUUCGCCUGUGACGAAGCGUGAGUGACGGUAAUGGGUAAAGAAGCACCGGCUAACUACGUG